GAAAUAGACUUAAACCAAGUUUGAAGCAUUGCAUCUGUUUGCCAGUACUGUGAGAAAACGUUGUUACCGAAGAAGACUGGAUGCUAAAACAAACUCUGGAGCUGCUUUUUGUCGUUAAUGAAGAGGACUGAAUGCUAAAACAAACUCCUCUCCUCUGCUUUUUUGUCGAACAGGAGUGAGACUGGACGCUGAACACACCUGCGGCGCGAAGGUUUACUCGUUCAGCUGCGCCAGUCUGGACAGAAACACCAGCUCUCACCUUACAAAUCAAACAGGUGUCACUACUUUGUCCAUGAUCACAGAGAGUCUUUGUACAAUGAAGAAGUUCUUUGAAAUCAGGAAUGAAGCCUCCAGGUAAUUCACAAACAGCUUUACAUCAACUGUCCAACACAGAGCAGUGACAGUAAAUUAUAUAUCUUCAGUAACUGAUCUUCAGUCUGACUAGUUUGAUUUGACACAAAAAGUACAUAGUUCAUGAAUGUACAGUUCAAAGAAAAUGAAGAAUUUAAAUAUGAGCUCUCUCUCUGUCUCUUUCUCUCUCCCUCAUUCUCCUAAGCCUGGCACACACUAACAGAUUUUUAAAAUCUUACCUGAUUUAGAAAAUGUGAGAGACCACACACACAACGACAAAUAAUGUCCGAUUUCAGAGUUUUGUUCUUAUAGUGUGUGAUGUGCAGCGAGAAGACCAACACAGUAAACCACACACUAACAGAUUCACCACCAACAACCAGAGUCUGGACUCUCAAACAUGGCGGAUGACGAUGUCUCUUGUUUGUUGUGCUUCCGUCUUCAGUCAGCUUGCACCCUGAUCGGCUAACGCCCUGUUCCAUGAGACAAUCCACAGAGUGCGUGCUUGGUUUUCCUUGGUGUACUCCCCACUUUUCGAUCGUAA
Lates calcarifer (barramundi perch) is the source of this 892-nucleotide long non-coding RNA. RefSeq lists it as uncharacterized. The transcript has 3 exons. The record is from RefSeq and is a predicted model, not a curated record. NCBI's taxonomy places the organism in Eukaryota, Metazoa, Chordata, Actinopteri, Centropomidae.